RNAcentral lists this long non-coding RNA (315 nucleotides) under Sorghum bicolor (sorghum). Its description in RNAcentral is "long non-coding RNA (SBIC_LNC005380)". The record is from RNAcentral. Lineage: Eukaryota; Viridiplantae; Streptophyta; Magnoliopsida; Poales; Poaceae.
GGCCUUCUGACGGGAUGCCAGCGUGUACCUUUCUCUGAAUUUGGGGGUAAAGCUGAUGAAAAGUGGGAUUUGACGGGAACAUGAUCCAUCAUCAUGGUUGCCGUGCGUGCAGGGUUAGGUGGGAGCUUGUCAGUCGCAUUCAAUGCUUUGAAUCCCGUACCAGCAAUAGGUUGUCGGGGCGCGCCUUUGCGCUCGAGGCUGGUUGGUUCGCUCGAUGCUAUUUCUGUAAUCAAAGGUUGUCUAGCCUUGAGCCUUUAGGCGUUCGCUCGACCCUAUUUCCAUCACCGAGACUAGGGUCGAUCAGCGCGCAUAUGU